UUCAAUGGUGGUUCAGGCGGUGGAGACUCACGUCUCACCGGUCGAGUGUUUCCGGUAUCGCAAACUCCGCUUGAACUACCACCAAU
RNAcentral lists this non-coding RNA (86 nucleotides) under Xenorhabdus innexi. The record is from RNAcentral. Lineage: Bacteria; Pseudomonadati; Pseudomonadota; Gammaproteobacteria; Enterobacterales; Morganellaceae.